AGUAGAAUGGAACACUCAUACUCUACAUUUACUCCGAUGGCCAGUUCCGGUCAACUCAGGCGCCGUUCGGUGACAAAUUAUGAGGUGUACAAAGUUCAUCAUGGGUAUAGGAUGAAACCAUCUAGAUCAUAUUUCUAUCACACAUAAAAGAUAAAACCGAGAAGAAAAUUUGAAGUGAUUUUAUCCUAUGUCCACGGUGGAUCUGAGGAUUCUGAUUCACCUAAAAAUUUAUUCUACUCAGCCCCC
Molecule: long non-coding RNA, 246 nt
Filed under: Elaeis guineensis (African oil palm)
Lineage: Eukaryota; Viridiplantae; Streptophyta; Magnoliopsida; Arecales; Arecaceae
Description: long non-coding RNA (EGUI_LNC030606)
Source: RNAcentral